AAUAAGUGCACUUUUGUAUUGUUUAUGUCCAAUAUUGACCGUUCAACUUAUUUGAAAACUUUUUAUAAUUAGUUAUUUUAUUGUUAGUAGAUGAUAAAACAUGAAUAGUACUUUAUGUGUCACUAUUUUUAAAAAAAUCAUAAAUUUUUCAAAUAAGACGAACGGUCAAACGUUGGACACGAAUACCCAUAACUGCACUUAUU
This is a non-coding RNA of Oryza glaberrima (African rice), 203 nucleotides long. Lineage: Eukaryota; Viridiplantae; Streptophyta; Magnoliopsida; Poales; Poaceae. The record is from Rfam.